CCUACGGGUGGCAGCAGUGAGGAAUAUUGGUCAAUGGACGAGAGUCUGAACCAGCCAAGUAGCGUGAAGGAUGACUGCCCUAUGGGUUGUAAACUUCUUUUAUAUGGGAAUAAAAUGUUCCACGUGUGGGAUUUUGUAUGUACCAUAUGAAUAAGGAUCGGCUAACUCCGUGCCAGCAGCCGCGGUAAUACGGAGGAUCCGAGCGUUAUCCGGAUUUAUUGGGUUUAAAGGGUGCGUAGGUGGAUUGUUAAGUCAGUUGUGAAAGUUUGCGGCUCAACCGUAAAAUUGCAGUUGAAACUGGCAGUCUUGAGUACAGUAGAGGUGUGCGGAAUGCGUGGUGUAGCGGUGAAAUGCUUAGAUAUCACGAAGAACUCCGAUUGCGAAGGCAGUUCACUGGACUGCAACUGACGCUGAGGCUCGAAAGUGUGGGUAUCAAACAGGAUUAGAGACCCGUGUAGUC
This 460-nucleotide ribosomal RNA is filed under the name uncultured bacterium. RNAcentral describes it as "partial 16S ribosomal RNA". It matches the Rfam family "Bacterial small subunit ribosomal RNA", at positions 338 to 795 of the family's 1533-position model. The record is from RNAcentral.